CGGAAUCAUUAUCCUGCGACUCACUGUCUCCGGUCGCUCCAAGGGGCGAGCUUUCAUCGCAGUGUAGAGCGAGCGUGAGAAGCACAGACUUGAGGAGACCCAUUUUCUAAACUGCUUUUGUAGUCGCAGUCUCAUUCAAGCACCGUAUCGGAGAGAAAUUGUGUCGGUGGAUGAACCGUAUUUGUCGUCCAACUGAGAAAAUAACUAUUUUACGUUGUACAUUGAAGCGGAAGCCGAACAAGUGAGAGUGUCAUCGAACGGCACCUGAGUUAGCCAGGCAGUUGGCUAGCUGGGGAGGGUUACGAAGUGGCCGGGACCUCACAGCAGUAAAAUAAAUCAUCUUUUUUCCGGAGGAGGAGGCAGGAGCACUACAAUCGUGGACAUAUUCUAAGGGGAACCUUCUCCCUAUUUACAGUCUAAAGUCUCCAAAUAUCUGAGGCCCAGAGAGCCUCAACAGUGGGGUCUGGACGACACAAGAACCCAGUGUGGCCUGACAGCGAAACACAGAGAGAAUCAAUGCCAAGCCCUUCUCCUCCUCAGACAGCCUAGCGAAGGUGCAGGAGGUAGCAAGCUGGCUUUUGGAAAUG
Long non-coding RNA from Osmerus eperlanus (European smelt), 587 nucleotides. RefSeq lists it as uncharacterized. The record is from RefSeq and is a predicted model, not a curated record. NCBI's taxonomy places the organism in Eukaryota, Metazoa, Chordata, Actinopteri, Osmeriformes, Osmeridae. The transcript has 3 exons.